UCAAACUUGGUCAUUUAGAGGAAGUAAAAGUCGUAACAAGGUCUCCGUAGGUGAACCUGCGGAGGGAUCAUUACCAGAGAUGGUGGGCUCGGGCCCCCGUUCUCAACCGUGCCGAUUUAAAUCUUUUUGCCUCGGGGGUGGGGUGGCUUUGGCCGCCGCCGCCCCCGGAGGACCACCGAACGCCGUCUCUGUGCGUCGGAGUCUAAUGAUAAAUGAAUGAAAACUUUCAACAACGGAUCUCUUGGUUCUGGCAUCGAUGAAGAACGCAGC
Molecule: unclassified non-coding RNA, 270 nt
Filed under: uncultured fungus
Lineage: Eukaryota; Fungi
Description: partial contains small subunit ribosomal RNA, internal transcribed spacer 1, and 5.8S ribosomal RNA
Rfam family: Eukaryotic small subunit ribosomal RNA (bases 1-73)
Source: RNAcentral